AAAAACAUCGCCUCUUGCACCUAAAAUAUAAGAGGUCCUGCCUGCCCUGUGACUUUAAGUUUAACGGCCGCGGUAUUUUAACCAGUGCGAAGGUAGCGCAAUCACUUGUCUCUUAAAUAGAGACCUGUAUGAAUGGCAUAACGAGGGCUAAACUGUCUCCUCUUCCCAGUCAAUGAAAUUGAUAUACCCGUGCAGAAGCGGGAAUAAAACCGUAAGACGAGAAGACCCUAUGGAGCUUUUAGAUAAAGGAUAGAUUAUGCUAAACAACCCCAACAAGAGAUUAAGCCAAAUAAUACCUAUCCCCAUCUUUGGUUGGGGCGACCGCGGGGAAAUAACUAACCCCCACGUGGAAUAUGUGCAAUCCACUUUAAAGCCAGAGCCACAGCUCUAACAAACAGAAUGUUUGACCAUAUAAGAUCCGGCACUGCCGAUCAACGGACCGAGUUACCCUAGGGAUAACAGCGCAAUCCCCUUAUAGAGCCCAUAUCGACAAGGGGGUUUACGACCUCGAUGUUGGAUCAGGACAUCCUAAUGGUGCAACCGCUAUUAAGGGUUCGUUUGUUCAACGAUUAAAGUCCUACGUGAUCU
Molecule: ribosomal RNA, 588 nt
Filed under: Odontobutis potamophilus
Lineage: Eukaryota; Metazoa; Chordata; Actinopteri; Gobiiformes; Odontobutidae
Description: partial 16S ribosomal RNA
Rfam family: Bacterial large subunit ribosomal RNA
Source: RNAcentral